RNAcentral lists this microRNA precursor (68 nucleotides) under Drosophila busckii. RNAcentral's name for it is "mir-287 microRNA precursor family". It matches the Rfam family "mir-287 microRNA precursor family". The record is from Rfam by way of RNAcentral. Lineage: Eukaryota; Metazoa; Arthropoda; Insecta; Diptera; Drosophilidae.
ACAUAUAAUGCUGGAAAUUUUGCACACAUUUACAGUAAUUGUAAAUGUGUUGAAAAUCGUUUGCACAG